This is a long non-coding RNA of Phyllostomus discolor (pale spear-nosed bat), 258 nucleotides long. RefSeq lists it as uncharacterized. Lineage: Eukaryota; Metazoa; Chordata; Mammalia; Chiroptera; Phyllostomidae. The transcript has 4 exons. The record is from RefSeq and is a predicted model, not a curated record.
AUCCAUGUGCCUUCUGUGGUGCUGAUGACCUCACAUGCUGGUGUGAACAGAAGUCCCUGUGAAGGUGUCAUCUCCAGGGGCAGCAUGACUGAUGCCCCCUGUCUCUCUUUCUCUAUUUCAGGCAGAGGUAGCAUCCAAAUGCAAAACUAGACCUUAAAAAUCUCACAAGCAAGUUCCUCAUUAUUCAAGGAUGGCCUGAUAACUCCCAGAAUAUGUGAAGGUUUCAAUGUGUUGCUUCAAUAAAGUACUUGCCCUGCA